Molecule: ribosomal RNA, 920 nt
Filed under: uncultured bacterium
Lineage: Bacteria
Description: bacterial SSU rRNA
Rfam family: Bacterial small subunit ribosomal RNA
Source: RNAcentral
CAGCAUGCCGCGUGAGUGAUGAAGGUUUUCUUGAUCGUAAAGCUCUGUCUUUGGGGACGAAGAAAGUGACGGUACCCAAGGAGGAAGCCCCGGCUAACUACGUGCCAGCAGCCGCGGUAAUACGUAGGGGGCGAGCGUUGUCCGGAAUUACUGGGCGUAAAGGGCGAGUAGGCGGUUAUAUAAGUCAGAUGUGAAAUACCGGGGCUUAACCCCGGAGCUGCAUUUGAAACUGUAUAGCUUGAGUGCAGGAGAGGAAAGUGGAAUUCCCAGUGUAGCGGUGAUAUGCGUAGAUAUUGGGAGGAACACCAGUGGCGAAGGCGACUUUCUGGACUGUAACUGACGCUGAGGCGCGAAAGCGUGGGGAGCAAACAGGAUUAGAUACCCUGGUAGUCCACGCUGUAAACGAUGAGUGCUAGGUGUAGGGGGUAUCGACCCCUCCUGUGCCGCAGUUAACACAAUAAGCACUCCGCCUGGGGAGUACGGUCGCAAGACUGAAACUCAAAGGAAUUGACGGGGGCCCGCACAAGCAGCGGAGCAUGUGGUUUAAUUCGACGCAACGCGAAGAACCUUACCAGGGCUUGACAUCCCUCGCUAGCCGUGGAAACACGGUGUUCCCUUCGGGGACGAGGAGACAGGUGGUGCACGGUUGUCGUCAGCUCGUGUCGUGAGAUGUUGGGUUAAGUCCCGCAACGAGCGCAACCCUUGUCCUUAGUUGCCAACGUAAAGUCGUGCACUCUAGGGAGACUGCCGGAGACAAUUCGGAGGAAGGUGGGGAUGACGUCAAAUCAUCAUGCCCCUUAUGUCCUGGGCUACACACGUGCUACAAUGGGCUGUACAAAGGGUAGCGAAACCGCGAGGUGGAGCCAAUCCCAUAAAACAGCUCUCAGUUCAGAUCGCAGGCUGCAACUCGCCUGCGUGAA